ACCAUUCCUAGAGACCUUACAGAUACUGUUCCAUGUGCUUCAGUAGAUGGCAGAGAGGAGAGGCUAUGUCUGUGCUCAGCGUUCUGAACUGUGAACACCUGAGGGACUAGCAGCCUGACACU
Arvicola amphibius (Eurasian water vole) is the source of this 122-nucleotide small nucleolar RNA. RefSeq annotates it as small nucleolar RNA SNORA17. The transcript has a single exon. Lineage: Eukaryota; Metazoa; Chordata; Mammalia; Rodentia; Cricetidae. The record is from RefSeq and is a predicted model, not a curated record.